Molecule: non-coding RNA, 25 nt
Filed under: Mus musculus (house mouse)
Lineage: Eukaryota; Metazoa; Chordata; Mammalia; Rodentia; Muridae
Source: RNAcentral
UGUAGCGGUUAAACCAUUCCCACCC